Molecule: long non-coding RNA, 1618 nt
Filed under: Gallus gallus (chicken)
Lineage: Eukaryota; Metazoa; Chordata; Aves; Galliformes; Phasianidae
Description: lncRNA (ENSGALG00010028648.1)
Source: RNAcentral
UGCUGAUGGGCAGGGUGGGGGUCGGCACAACUUUUGGGGGUGCUCGUGCUCAUGGGGCUAUGGCCUAAAGAGUGCUGCCUCCCCUACAUACUCAAGUUUCUUCUAAUGCUCCCCAUAGUGAGACAUGCAGCCACAGCAUCCAGUUGAGCACUCGGCCAUGUUGGACUCACCAGUGCUCACUCCUUCCUGCUCCUUUCCCCAGGGAUUUUGGCUCUGGGGAGCACAGGGAGGUGUCCCUGUGGCACUGAGUGCUGAGAGGCUGAAUGCUGUGACAGCCAUUCUCUGUGCGGUGUUCUUCAGAUACGUCUGGUGUUAGCACAGGCUGCUUCCUGCAAAGCCCUUUUUCUCUCAGCACUUUGUUCCCGCAGACAGGCUGAGCACACUGGGUGCUGCACCUAUGGUUCCUCCAGCAUUCCCAGUCACUGCAGGGGCUGGGAGGAGGUGCAGGGGAAUGAUAUCACUAGAAAACAGCCCAAGCAGGACCCACAUUCCCUGCCCACUGCCAGAUCCAUGUGGUACCACUCCUGGCAUCCUCAAGGGCUGCAGCUGCUCCACAUGAGCUCUGGGGCCAUCUGAGCUCUGUCCCUGGAGCACUUGCCAGGGCCAGAACAAGUUGUGGCUGCUACAGAAUUCCCACUUCCACGGGUCCAUGCUGGUCUUACCCCAAGAGCGUAUUUCAGCACAUGCUGUAUUCAAGGCAAACUAUUCCUGCUGGGAUCUGGGGAUCCUUUAUCUCUGUUCCCAGUGCUGGGAGGAACAUGAGGAGUCCUGUUGUUUGGAAAAAACCCCAAAGCCCAUAGAGGAUUGAUUGAGCUAAAUGGAGGUGCUUUGGCACAGCCUUUGGGACACACUGCAGGUAUCUCAAGUCACGGAGGGCACUUUGCAGCAGCUUCUCAAGGCCCAUGUGUAGUGCAGCAGCUCUUCCACCACUCUUCUUCCCCUGCCCCUCGUUCCAGCCUGGGGCUGGAAGCACAUCUGCCCAGAGGUGAGAGCAGAGCUGCUCGGCUGCCAAAGUAGAACACAGCUCAGAAGUUCAUUCUGGGAUUGCCAUGCAGUGUGAAGAGGUACCCAUUGGCCAGAUGGGGCCUUUGCUUCAAAAGCGGUGGAAAGCUCAACGUCAGCGUGCAGCCCUGUGCCCUCCGGUGCUGGAAGGGGCUGCUCACCCUCAGCCAUACAGUUCUCCAUUUCUAUGGGCUGAAAGAUUUCAGAGCCUUGCUCUGGGAGCUGCCCAAGGUGUUGCUGAUGGCAUCUAAGAGAAAAGCAUGGAGCAGCGUUGCUGCGCACUGCUUAUGUGUAGCUAUGGUUACAGGAGUCUGUGUCAGAGUAUGUACGAUGUUACCAGGGAAAUCAGACGUGGUGGUGUCAACAGAUACUGCAGGAGCUCAUCCUCCAUCAGAGCAGAGCUCAGAAGCUCAGUGCAGACCCACACAGCAACCGGCAGCGAUAAGAAUAAAUGCCAUUUGGAGAAGAAAACCAUCCUACCCACGCGGAGGGAGGGGGGCCUGGCAGGGACAUGCAGGUACCACCCACUGCUGCAAGCACUUGGCACGUGUUCCCAGAGACAUUCAAACAUGUACCAAAGAGCUUCUCCUGUCUGAGCAGUCAGUGCAUCCUUACA